This 449-nucleotide ribosomal RNA is filed under the name uncultured Methanosaeta sp. Its description in RNAcentral is "bacterial SSU rRNA". It matches the Rfam family "Archaeal small subunit ribosomal RNA", at positions 890 to 1338 of the family's 1478-position model. The record is from RNAcentral. Lineage: Archaea; Methanobacteriati; Methanobacteriota; Methanomicrobia; Methanotrichales; Methanotrichaceae.
GGAGCCUGCGGUUUAAGUUGGAUUCAACGCCGGAAAUCUCACCGGGGCGACAGCAAUAUGAAGGUCAGGCUGAAGACCUUACCCGAUUAGCUGAGAGGUGGUGCAUGGCCGUCGUCAGUUCGUACUGUGAAGCAUCCUGUUAAGUCAGGCAACGAGCGAGACCCACGUCCACAGUUGCCAGCAUACCCUCCGGGGUGAUGGGUACACUGUGGAGACCGCCGCUGCUAAAGCGGAGGAAGGAGUGGGCAACGGUAGGUCAGUAUGCCCCGAAUCUCCCGGGCUACACGCGGGCUACAAUGGUUGGUACAAUGGGCAUCUACCCCGAAAGGGGAAGGAAAUCUCUUAAAGCCAAUCGUAGUUCGGAUUGAGGGCUGCAACUCGCCCUCAUGAAGCUGGAAUCCGUAGUAAUCGCGUUUCAACAGAACGCGGUGAAUACGUCCCUGCUCCUU